Molecule: non-coding RNA, 30 nt
Filed under: Mus musculus (house mouse)
Lineage: Eukaryota; Metazoa; Chordata; Mammalia; Rodentia; Muridae
Source: RNAcentral
UUAAGAUGACAAAGUCCAUGAAAGUGCCAC